AUUGAACGCUGGCGGCAGGCCUAACACAUGCAAGUCGAGCGGAUGAAGGGAGCUUGCUCCUGGAUUCAGCGGCGGACGGGUGAGUAAUGCCUAGAAAUCUGCCUGGUAGUGGGGGAUAACGUCCGGAAACGGGCGCUAAUACCGCAUACGUCCUGAGGGAGAAAGUGGGGGAUCUUCGGACCUCACGCUAUCAGAUGAGCCUAGGUCGGAUUAGCUAGUUGGUGGGGUAAAGGCCUACCAAGGCGACGAUCCGUAACUGGUCUGAGAGGAUGAUCAGUCACACUGGAACUGAGACACGGUCCAGACUCCCACGGGAGGCAGCAGUGGGGAAUAUUGGACAAUGGGCGAAAGCCUGAUCCAGCCAUGCCGCGUGUGUGAAGAAGGUCUUCGGAUUGUAAAGCACUUUAAGUUGGGAGGAAGGGCAGUAAGUUAAUACCUUGCUGUUUUGACGUUACCAACAGAAUAAGCACCGGCUAACUUCGUG
RNAcentral lists this ribosomal RNA (484 nucleotides) under uncultured bacterium. RNAcentral describes it as "partial 16S ribosomal RNA". It matches the Rfam family "Bacterial small subunit ribosomal RNA", at positions 30 to 507 of the family's 1533-position model. The record is from RNAcentral.